CUCAAGUAAGAGAAAAGCAACUCCAGUAGGCCUUGGGCUGGCUAACAACAAGAAACUGGUCAUUCAAAAGAUACAAUUUACCCUUAGCAAUGCCAUAGUUGCAGGCUGCUGUGGGCGCUAGUGAUCAAAUUAUCCAAGUGAACGGUAAUGGCUAAUGCCUAAUUCAUUAUGGCUCUGAACACAAUAUUCAUAAUAAACAUUUGAGCAAUAUAUAUGUAUUUCAAACUGUUGAGUUGUGCAUUGCGAUUCAAGCAACGACUUAAAUGCCGCACAGUCCAGCAAAUACAAUGGCAAGAAAAAGUGAAAGUCUAAAAAAUGUUAUAAUAAAAACAAUCUAUGAAUAAGAUACUACAAGCCGA
Drosophila virilis is the source of this 359-nucleotide non-coding RNA. Lineage: Eukaryota; Metazoa; Arthropoda; Insecta; Diptera; Drosophilidae. The record is from RefSeq and is a predicted model, not a curated record.